GUCGAACGAUGAUCCGGUGCUUGCACCGGGGAUUAGUGGCGAACGGGUGAGUAACACGUGAGUAACCUGCCCUUGACUCUGGGAUAAGCCUGGGAAACUGGGUCUAAUACCGGAUAUGACUCCUCAUCGCAUGGUGGGGGGUGGAAAGCUUUUGUGGUUUUGGAUGGACUCGCGGCCUAUCAGCUUGUUGGUGAGGUAAUGGCUCACCAAGGCGACGACGGGUAGCCGGCCUGAGAGGGUGACCGGCCACACUGGGACUGAGACACGGCCCAGACUCCUACGGGAGGCAGCAGUGGGGAAUAUUGCACAAUGGGCGCAAGCCUGAUGCAGCGACGCCGCGUGAGGGAUGACGGCCUUCGGGUUGUAAACCUCUUUCAGUAGGGAAGAAGCGAAAGUGACGGUACCUGCAGAAGAAGCGCCGGCUAACUACGUGCCAGCAGCCGCGGUAAUACGUAGGGCGCAAGCGUUAUCCGGAAUUAUUGGGCGUAAAGAGCUCGUAGGCGGUUUGUCGCGUCUGCCGUGAAAGUCCGGGGCUCAACUCCGGAUCUGCGGUGGGUACGGGCAGACUAGAGUGAUGUAGGGGAGACUGGAAUUCCUGGUGUAGCGGUGAAAUGCGCAGAUAUCAGGAGGAACACCGAUGGCGAAGGCAGGUCUCUGGGCAUUAACUGACGCUGNGVAGCG
This 681-nucleotide ribosomal RNA is filed under the name Arthrobacter sp. UAPS0152. RNAcentral's name for it is "bacterial SSU rRNA". It matches the Rfam family "Bacterial small subunit ribosomal RNA", at positions 61 to 755 of the family's 1533-position model. Lineage: Bacteria; Bacillati; Actinomycetota; Actinomycetes; Micrococcales; Micrococcaceae. The record is from RNAcentral.